Molecule: ribosomal RNA, 918 nt
Filed under: uncultured euryarchaeote
Lineage: Archaea; Methanobacteriati; Methanobacteriota
Description: bacterial SSU rRNA
Rfam family: Archaeal small subunit ribosomal RNA
Source: RNAcentral
CCGGUUGAUCCCGCCGGAGGUCAUUGCUAGUGGAGUCCGAUUUAGACAUGCUAGUUGCACGAGUUCAGACUCGUAGCAGAUAGCUCAGUAACACGUGGCCAAACUACCCUACAGAGUGCGAUAACCUCGGGAAACUGAGGCUAAUAGCGCAUACGGCUCUCACGCUGGAACUGCGGAGAGCUCGAAACGCUCCGGCGCUGUAGGAUGUGGCUGCGGCCGAUUAGGUAGACGGUGGGGUAACGGCCCACCGUGCCAGUAAUCGGUACGGGUUGUGAGAGCAAGAGCCCGGAGACGGUAUCUGAGACAAGAUACCGGGCCCUACGGGGCGCAGCAGGCGCGAAACCUUUACACUGCACGCCAGUGCGAUAAGGGGACUCCAGGUGCGAGGGCAUAUAGUCCUCGCUUUUGUACACCGUAAGGUGGUGUACGAAUAAGUGCUGGGCAAGACCGGUGCCAGCCGCCGCGGUAAUACCGGCAGCACGAGUGAUGACCGCUAUUAUUGGGCCUAAAGCGUCCGUAGCUGGCCAGUCAAGUCCGUCGGGAAAUCUCCCCGCCCAACGGGGAGGCGUCCGGUGGAAACUGUCUGGCUUGGGACCGGAAGACCAGAGGGGUACGUCCGGGGUAGGAGUGAAAUCCCGUAAUCCUGGACGGACCACCGGUGGCGAAAGCGCCUCUGGAAGACAGAUCCGACGGUGAGGGACGAAAGCUCGGGUCACGAACCGGAUUAGAUACCCGGGUAGUCCGAGCUGUAAACGAUGUCUGCUAGGUGUGACACAGGCUACGAGCCUGUGUUGUGCCGUAGGGAAGCCGUGAAGCAGACCGCCUGGGAAGUACGUCCGCAAGGAUGAAACUUAAAGGAAUUGGCGGGGGAGCACUACAACCGGAGGAGCCUGCGGUUUAAUUGGAUUCAACGCCGGG